GGGUGCGAUCAUACCAGCACUAAUGCACCGGAUCCCAUCAGAACUCCGCAGUUAAGCGUGCUUGGGCGAGAGCAGUACUAGGAUGGGUGACCUCCUGGGAAGUCCUCGCGUUGCACCCCUC
Molecule: ribosomal RNA, 121 nt
Filed under: Gossypium schwendimanii
Lineage: Eukaryota; Viridiplantae; Streptophyta; Magnoliopsida; Malvales; Malvaceae
Source: RNAcentral